AGCGAACGCUGGCGGCAGGCCUAACACAUGCAAGUCGAACGAACUCUUCGGAGUUAGUGGCGGACGGGUGAGUAACACGUGGGAACGUGCCUUUAGGUUCGGAAUAACUCAGGGAAACUUGAGCUAAUACCGGAUGUGCCCUUCGGGGGAAAGAUUUAUCGCCUUUAGAGCGGCCCGCGUCUGAUUAGCUAGUUGGUGAGGUAAAGGCUCACCAAGGCGACGAUCAGUAGCUGGUCUGAGAGGAUGAUCAGCCACAUUGGGACUGAGACACGGCCCAAACUCCUACGGGAGGCAGCAGUGGGGAAUCUUGCGCAAUGGGCGAAAGCCUGACGCAGCCAUCCCGCGUGAAUGAUGAAGGUCUUAGGAUUGUAAAAUUCUUUCACCGGGGACGAUAAUGACGGUACCCGGAGAAGAAGCCCCGGCUAACUUCGUG
This 433-nucleotide ribosomal RNA is filed under the name uncultured bacterium. Its description in RNAcentral is "partial 16S ribosomal RNA". It matches the Rfam family "Bacterial small subunit ribosomal RNA", at positions 29 to 507 of the family's 1533-position model. The record is from RNAcentral.